CUAGAUACACGAGCCUUGACACAAGCAUCUUCAAAAUUGGCAUCGGGAACCUUCCCUGGCAUCAUCAAAUUCUUAAGGAUGUCCAGCUGACCCUUGAUGUGGAUUCGCAUCUCGUACAGGUGCCACGGAACGUCGAGGAAAGAAGAAGUAUGAGAGGAGGACGACUGAUCUAGUAGAUGCACCUUCUCGGCCUCAAGAGCAGCAACUUGUUGCUAAGGCUUGAAACCGG
RNAcentral lists this long non-coding RNA (229 nucleotides) under Nicotiana benthamiana. RNAcentral's name for it is "long non-coding RNA (NBEN_LNC033175)". The record is from RNAcentral. Lineage: Eukaryota; Viridiplantae; Streptophyta; Magnoliopsida; Solanales; Solanaceae.